GACGAACGCUGGCGGCGUGCUUAACACAUGCAAGUCGAACGGAAAGGCCCCUUUGGGGGUACUCGAGUGGCGAACGGGUGAGUAACACGUGAGUAACCUGCCCUUGACUUCGGGAUAACUUCAGGAAACUGGGGCUAAUACCGGAUAGGAAUCCUUGCUGCAUGGUGGGGGUUGGAAAGCUUCGGCGGUUUUGGAUGGACUCGCGGCUUAUCAGCUUGUUGGUGGGGUAGUGGCUUACCAAGGCUUUGACGGGUAGCCGGCCUGAGAGGGCGACCGGCCACAUUGGGACUGAGAUACGGCCCAGACUCCCACGGGAGGCAGCAGUGGGGAAUAUUGCACAAUGGGCGGAAGCCUGAUGCAGCAACGCCGCGUGCGGGAUGACGGCCUUCGGUUUGUAAACCGCUUUCAGCAGGGGCGAAGCUUGUGGUGACGGUACCUGCAGAAGAAGCACCGGCUAACUACGUG
RNAcentral lists this ribosomal RNA (465 nucleotides) under uncultured bacterium. RNAcentral's name for it is "partial 16S ribosomal RNA". It matches the Rfam family "Bacterial small subunit ribosomal RNA", at positions 28 to 507 of the family's 1533-position model. The record is from RNAcentral.